Molecule: long non-coding RNA, 96 nt
Organism: Thalassophryne amazonica
Lineage: Eukaryota; Metazoa; Chordata; Actinopteri; Batrachoidiformes; Batrachoididae
Exons: 3
Source: RefSeq, a predicted model, not a curated record
UAAUUAUGUCGUUAUCACGGGAUAACGGUUUGUUUUCUCGAGAUCUCUAAUUAAUUAUGCCCUUAUCUCGGGAUAACAAGAUAAAAGCUGCACAGU